CGUUGAUAUAAAGAUGAAUGUAUUAUUCCUGUUGGGUUAAGAGUUUUUUUUUUCACCUCAAGGUUUAUUUUUUCUUAUGAUCUUAACAAUAAAUUAUUCUAUUUUGAAAGGUUCUAGAAGCCUCGAAAGCUCCUAUGGGCUCCAGGCACUGAGCCUAUGACUUUUGAUGGCCCUGUUAGAUGACACCACAGAGCAUGAGUGCUGAGCUGAUUCAGGUGUGGAGGAGUUCUGCUUUCCCCUGCUGUUCAUGGAAGGGAGGCUUUGCAAAGGGAGUCAGAGAACACUGGGGAGGAUGGCAGACUGAAAACACGAAGAGAGAGGAGCAUUUGCCGGCCCAAAGCAGCAUAUGAAAGAAUGGGCGGAUCAACGUAUGCUCCAUCCGUGGUGUGUUUCUGCUGCUUCUCCAAACGUGGAAUGACCAGUCUGAUUCUAGCCACUCUGUUGACUCUCUGCAGUGUGCCAUUUGGUUCUAACUUGGAUCUUUGUGGUAACAAAGGGGCUUGAGCUCUCAUGCUCACGUCUAAUGGCUAUUCGGAUAAUGCCUAAGUCAGCUUUCCAGUGUCGUGCUGCUCAGCAUUCUGUUAUUGUGACAGACACCUAAGGAAAACACAGAAAAGGAGGAAAGCUUUAUUUCACUCUGGGUUUCAGAGGUUUCAGUCCACAGUUGGCUGAGUUCACUGAAUUUUAAACUGGUGUUGAGGUGAAGUGUCCAAGGUGGAAGGGCAUGGAAAAGCAAAUCUACCGAUCCCAGCCAGGAAGGAAAGAAGGGGACGGCGCAGAGAGGGAGGGUUUGGGGAGAAGUUAUGUCCUUUAAAGCCUCGACCCUGGUGACCUGCUCUCUAACUGCCUCACCUCUGAACAGUCUUCCACCUCCUAACAGCCCAUUAAACUAUGAGUCAAAGAAUGGAUCGCUCCAUCGAUGAGGUCAGAGCCAUCCCCACCUAUCACUGCCCGCCCACUCCACAUCCGAACACUGCUGCAUUCUGAUUCCAGCUUCCACACAGGAGCUGACAGUGGCCACCGAAGGUCCAAAUCGUGACAUGGAGCCUCUUUUAGGCAGCGUUAUUUGUGUCUUUCUUUUCCUACUUACUUGUUCGUCUUUUUGUUACCGGUGUUUAGAAGCUUCUUAUAUGGUUGAGGCAAGUUACCGUGCCUUAUAUUUCCUUAUAUGCAAAAUGGGAAAGAGAGUGAUGUCUGUGUCAUAGGAUAUGAUUGCAACAAUUAUGUGGGAUAAUGCAAGCGAAACCUGAGACCUGUGUGUGGCACAUGGUGUUUUUUAGUCACUGUUCCAUCACUGGGACGAAAUACUCAGCACCCACAACUUAAAGGAAGAGAGAUUUAUUUUGGCUCACGGAUUCUGGAGGAUUCAGUCCGUGGUCUGCUCCUCCAAGGCAGAGUGAGCACGGAGGAAGGGCAGUGUUGAGAAGAGCUGCUCCGCCCACGACAGCGCGGAAGAAGAGAGGGACGGGAAGAGCUGGGGGGUAAGAGUCACUCUUCCAGGUAAAAGCCCUGGUGGCCCAUCUGGCCUCACCCAGCUUGGCCUCUCCUCUGAACAGCAUUCAGUGACAAGUACAGGCUGAUCCUAACCUGCUACGCAAUCACCUUUCAAACACGUGAGACUCUGGGGGGACAUUUGAUAUCUAAACCAUAGUACAGUACGAUCAGCGCUCAAUAUUAUUGUCAUUAGCCAGGAUCACGCUGCCAGCAUCUGUGGGCACCGAACCCUAGCCAGGCCUCCCGACUUCCGUUCACCGCAUUGAACCCUGCACGGAAGGACCUUCUCUCACUCAGACUCAUCACCUCACCCCUGCUCAUGCCCCCCGCGGGCUCCCGCACCAGCAUCAGAGGCACAUGCUGUUGUGCUGCUAUCAGGACCCAACAUUACUUUAAAACACUGCGAUCAGGUUCUUCUGGAUAGGAAAAAAAGGUGGUUUUUAGACUGAAAAAUCCUGGAAAACAUUCAUUCUCACAGACUCUGCAUAGUGCAUGUGGCACUUGGCAUGUGCAUUCCAAAAUUUUAAAGACAGGUAUUGCACCAGAAGAGAAAAAGAAACAAAACAAAACUGAUCCCUAAACCCAAAAUGCAUUAAAUAUUAAAGGCUAUUCAACGUGAGCAAUGAAGUGUUUCAGGCUAAAUGCCCAUUCUUGCCUCACUCAUCCCACUUUUCCUGAUACACCGGCCACACACAAGAAAAAAAUGACCAAAUUUUCUCUUCUAUCCUACUGGGAGUCGCUUUGCUCCUGGUGGUCAGACAAUAACAUUUUCUUAUAAAUAAACAAAUUUUAAUCAGCCUUAUUUUUCCCCUUCCACCUGUGGAAUUUUCCUCAGUUUAUAAACGAAUUCUGUUUUGGGGAAGAAAAAUCGUGAGUGUCGUAAGUUUGCUUUUGUCGCCAAAUUCAACAACAACCAUUCACUUAGUCCUCAGCGAGGAAGCCACUAAUAACUUCCUUCCAAAUCCUUUAGUUAAAUUUAGUUCCUCUCCCCCCCUCAGGAUUAAUUCAUUCUUCCUCCCAGAUUAAUGCAGCUCUUCAUAGUUGUAAUUUCUCAACUGUUAAAUUUCAGAAGCUGCAUCUACUGAAAAUGCCUUUUUAGCCUAAGGAGAAAUCGGACCCUUCAGUAUUUCCACUACGGGCUUUAAUUCCAUCUUUUGGUUGCAUUCAAAGCCCUAUAAUUGCUUAUCCUUAGAACAGCCCCUAACCCCACCAAACAGGGACAACAAAAGCACGACUGUCCACUUUAGGAUUUUUUUUUCUCUUUUUUUUUUGCACAUUAAAUAGUCCUAUCUACUCUGCCAUCUCCUAUGGCUUCAACGCGUCAAGUUCUUGGACUUUAGCUUCGCAGUUGCCCUCACUGAGCCACGUUCCUCUGAGAAGGUGAGAGAGGCAAAGAGCACCACCUCCCGUGUGUCCUCAGAGUAGCAUUGAGGAAGGGUGGUGCCUUCCCUCCCGCUAGGUCUGACUUCUGAUGUCUUCUGAUGCAGGCCAAACUGCCUUCGCUAUUCUUGACAGCCACCUCGUGGUGAGGCUGCGUCAUCCAGCCUGCCACAUCCCUUGAGCCUUAUUCACAGCCUUUGACACCCAGUGCUGCUGCCUUCACUUGUACGGUUGGUUCACGGGACCCAAAUGUUGACCCUUAGACUCUUCCUUGCUAGGUUGCUCACACCGUUUCAUCUGCUUUUCAGGUCCCAGCUACUUGACGAAACAAAGGUUUUUACUUCUGGGAAAGAGAUUCAGUAGGGAGGAAACAGAAAGGAGAAACUGGUUGGGGAUUUAGCUCAGUGGUUCUGCCACCUGCUUCGCAAGUACAAGGACCCAAGUUCGAUCCCUGGUACCAAAACAAACAAACAAACAGUAAAACAAAACAAAAAACAGAGAAACAAACCCCUCCUAGUGUGACUAGAAAUUUAUCUGAUCCAGCAGCCUGUUCCUAAAUUUUGCGAGGCAGCUUGUUGUUAAACCUGUGAAGUCUGUUUAACUUUUCAAGGAUAAAACUAUUACAUUGAUGUCAAUGAUCGCUUCUGCCUGUGUAGGGCAGAGAGACUCUAAGGAGGCCCCUGACCCCAGUCUCCUGCUAAUCACACCCUUAAAUCAUCCUUGAUUAUAAUACUCGAGUGUUGGCAUGUUCUAGAAUUUCAUUCUGAGCAAUAGAAUUUGGACAAGGUGCUAGAAUGUAUGUGAUUGCAGGCAAUAUUCAGGUUACAGGAGAUUUUAGCAUCAACUUGUUAGGAGCCUUUUCUCCUUACCUACGAAGCACCAAGGACCCACGUUGUGAGAUGAACUACAGAAGAGACCUCAUGGCAGGGGAACGAAAGGCAGCUUCUAACUGACUGGGAGCAGUGCGGUGUGGUCCUUACUCUGACAGCUUGGAAGACCUGCAGCAGGCGACGAGUAGCCACACGGAGGCUUCUGCAGUCAAAUGUUCAAGUCAAGUGUUCAACUCUUGUGACCUCUUAUUUGAAAAUUUCUGAUGAGACUUGGAAGUCGAGGAGCCAACAAAGGCAGAUGUAGCUUACGACCCUCACACAACGAUAGAAUAAACAUGUGGUGUUUCAGCUACUGCACGUGUUGUAAUAUAUUAUCCAUCUAUAUUCAACUAAGAUAUGAUGAAAUCAGGUGACAGAAACUAAAUCCAACUGUAAGCCAUAAUAUCCUGAGGCUCACUGUUGCUUUUGGAUUUGGUGGAUCGGGCUGGCUUACAGAACCUUCAGUGGUUCACCUGUCCCACACUACUCGGGUACUGAAGGCUCUUGGUUAUCAUUACAAUUACAGGUGUGUUUCUAGUAUUUCCUAGACCGACUUUACACUCAUCUUUAGUGGUCUCAGGUCUCAAUUAUUCCUGCCUUUUGGGUUGUUUGGUUCUGUACCUGGAUCUGGAUAUGUGCUGUGUCAUCUCCCGGCCUCCUACCUUUGAUUCACCAUUGUAGUAGGGCUCUCCAGUUAGAUCCCUCUGCUGCCACAGGAGGCAUUUCUGUCUUGUUUAUGUUGUGUCUUCCAAGUCUGAUUCUCCGCACUUUUCCUAAAAGACAAAUACAUCAUGUACAAGCCCCUUGGAAAGUGAAGAACUUCUAACCAAUAGUGUGAAUUUUAGCACAAUGAUAAACAUUUCUGGGAAAUCUUUGAUGUCAUAAGGCU
Long non-coding RNA from Fukomys damarensis (Damara mole-rat), 4632 nucleotides. The record is from Ensembl. Lineage: Eukaryota; Metazoa; Chordata; Mammalia; Rodentia; Bathyergidae.